CCUAAACUAUGUCAUUUAGUUCAAUUUACCCUUUAACAGAAUUUGUCUUUUUUUCUCCAUGCACAAGUGGAGUGUUAAGUUCAAUUUUUUUAAUAUGAUAGAAGACAUCAUGAGACAUGUUUACAAAAUAUAUCAUGAUUUUUUACCAUUAUUUUGAUAGGGUACGAUAUUUAAUAACAAAUUUAUCCUUGAGAUACAAAAUUAUAUUAAAAACUAAUGAUAAAAAAUUCAUAAAAUAUGUUUUAAUAUAGAUUGUGAUGUCCACUACCACCCUGCAAAGUUUCAAAUUAAAAUUCAACUUGGUAUGGAGAAAUAAAAAAUGAUAAAUUAUAUUAUGGAGUAAGUCGAACCAAAUAGCAUAAUUUAG
RNAcentral lists this long non-coding RNA (367 nucleotides) under Setaria viridis. RNAcentral describes it as "long non-coding RNA (SVIR_LNC007356)". Lineage: Eukaryota; Viridiplantae; Streptophyta; Magnoliopsida; Poales; Poaceae. The record is from RNAcentral.